CAUUUUAUUAGGUUGGUGCAAAAGUAAUUGCGAUUUUUGCCGUUAAAAGUAAUGACAAAAACCACAGUUACUUUUGCACCAACCUAAUACAUUCCCAACA
MicroRNA precursor from Chlorocebus sabaeus (green monkey), 100 nucleotides. The record is from Ensembl. NCBI's taxonomy places the organism in Eukaryota, Metazoa, Chordata, Mammalia, Primates, Cercopithecidae.